UACAGAGGGGGCAAGCGUUGUUCGGAAUUACUGGGCGUAAAGGGCGCGUAGGCGGCCUGCUAAGUCGAACGUGAAAUCCCUGGGCUCAACCCAGGAACUGCGUCCGAUACUGGUUGGCUUGAAUCCGGGAGAGGGAUGUGGAAUUCCAGGUGUAGCGGUGAAAUGCGUAGAUAUCUGGAGGAACACCGGUGGCGAAAGCGGCUCACUGGACCCGAUCUGACACUGAUGUGCGAAAGCUAGGGUAGCAAACGGG
RNAcentral lists this ribosomal RNA (253 nucleotides) under uncultured bacterium. Its description in RNAcentral is "partial 16S ribosomal RNA". It matches the Rfam family "Bacterial small subunit ribosomal RNA", at positions 524 to 776 of the family's 1533-position model. The record is from RNAcentral.